CUACGGGGUGCACCAGUGGGGAAUAUUGCACAAUGGGGGAAACCCUGAUGCAGCAACGCCGCGUGAGUGAAGAAGGCUUUCGAGUCGUAAAGCUCUGUCCUAUGGGAAGAAUAGAUGACGGUACCAUAGGAGGAAGCCCCGGCUAACUACGUGCCAGCAGCCGCGGUAAUACGUAGGGGGCAAGCGUUAUCCGGAAUCAUUGGGCGUAAAGGGUGCGUAGGCGGCCAGACAAGUCAGAGGUGAAAGGCUACGGCUUAACCGUAGUAAGCCUUUGAAACUGUUUGGCUUGAGUGCAGGAGAGGAAAGUGGAAUUCCUAGUGUAGCGGUGAAAUGCGUAGAUAUUAGGAGGAACACCAGUGGCGAAGGCGACUUUCUGGACUGUAACUGACGCUGAGGCACGAAAGCGUGGGGAGCGAACAGGAUUAGAUACCCUUGUAGUC
RNAcentral lists this ribosomal RNA (440 nucleotides) under uncultured bacterium. RNAcentral's name for it is "partial 16S ribosomal RNA". It matches the Rfam family "Bacterial small subunit ribosomal RNA", at positions 339 to 795 of the family's 1533-position model. The record is from RNAcentral.